This is a long non-coding RNA of Oncorhynchus tshawytscha (Chinook salmon), 775 nucleotides long. The record is from Ensembl. NCBI's taxonomy places the organism in Eukaryota, Metazoa, Chordata, Actinopteri, Salmoniformes, Salmonidae.
CUGUCUGGAGAGAGGGGUGGAGGAGGAGCUUGUUCUGUCUGUCUGGAGAGAGGGGCGGAGGAGGAGCUUGUUCUGUCUGUCAGGAGAGAGGGGUGGAGGAGGAGCUUGUUCUGUCUGUCUGGAGAGAGGGGGGUGGGAGGAGCUUGUUCUGUCUGUCUGGGGAGAAGGGCGGAGAAGGAGCUUAUUCUGUCUGUCUGGAGAGAGGGGCGGAGGAGGAGCUUGUUCUGUCUGUCUGGUGAGAGGGGCGGAGGAGGAGCUUGUUCUGUCUGUCUGGUGAGAGGGGUGGAGGAGGAGCUUGUUCUGUCUGUCUGGUGAGAGGGGCGGAGGAGGAGCUUGUUCUGUCUGUCUGGUGAGAGGGGCAGAGGAGGAGCUUGUUCUGUCUGUCUGGAGAGAGGGGCGGAGGAGGAGCUUGUUCUGUCUGUCUGCUGGAGGGGUGGAGGAGGAGCUUGUUCUGUCUGUCUGGAGAGAGGGGUGGAGGAGGAGCUUGUGCUGUCUGUCUGGUGAGAGGGGCGGAGGAGGAGCUUGUUCUGUCUGUCUGGUGAGAGGGGCAGAGGAGGAGAUUGUUCUGUAUGUCUGGAGAGGGGGGCGGAGGAGGAGCUUGUUCUGUCUGUCUGGUGAGAGGGGUGGAGGAGCUUGUUCUGUCUGUCUGGAGAGUGGGGCAGAGGAGGAGCUUGUUCUGUCUGUCUGGAGAGAGGGGCGGAGGAGCUUGUUCUGUCUUUCUGGAGAGAGGGGUGGAGGAGGAGCUUGUUCUGUCUGUCUGGGGAGAAGUGCGGAG